GCCAAAGUCAACUUAGAUAAAAGCAAUGACUAUGUAGAUCAAAACGCGCACAAAGCACAUGUAUAAUCACUGAGUCAGUUGGCAUCAGCUGUUUAUGAGGUAUUGUGUAGGAAGCCUGUUCAUAUGUAGUGUAUACAAUUAUGGGCCAUUAUUGUUAAAAAAAUUAUAAAGGAAAAGUUAAUUAUUGAAAAAAAAAAUAGAAACUUCUGUUCAAA
Molecule: unclassified non-coding RNA, 215 nt
Filed under: Hevea brasiliensis (rubber tree)
Lineage: Eukaryota; Viridiplantae; Streptophyta; Magnoliopsida; Malpighiales; Euphorbiaceae
Source: RNAcentral